This 309-nucleotide unclassified non-coding RNA is filed under the name Hevea brasiliensis (rubber tree). Lineage: Eukaryota; Viridiplantae; Streptophyta; Magnoliopsida; Malpighiales; Euphorbiaceae. The record is from RNAcentral.
AAGGAAUUGUUUUCUGUGAAUUGGAAAGGAAACAAGAAAUUAGGAAAAUCAAAUCUACUUUCUGUAACUUUCUCAAGAAAGUGAUGCCCUGAAUUAGGCUAGUAGCUAGGUAUUAACAGCACCAGUUUGUGUUCACAUUUUGAGCUCCCUCUCACCACCUUGAUUUUAGCAAAUUCCCAAGUUAGAACAAACAUUUGAUGUUGGCAAAUCACUGAAAGCAAGACCAUGGUAGAGAAAGUUACUGGCUUUCCAGGGAAAUUAAUGUUGUCUGGAAUGUAGGAUCAAGCUCUGUUACUAGGAAUAGUAUUU